Ipomoea nil (Japanese morning glory) is the source of this 94-nucleotide transfer RNA. It matches the Rfam family "tRNA". Rfam says of the family: Transfer RNA (tRNA) molecules are approximately 80 nucleotides in length. Lineage: Eukaryota; Viridiplantae; Streptophyta; Magnoliopsida; Solanales; Convolvulaceae. The record is from Rfam.
CUGACCUUAGCUCAGUGGGUAGAGUGGUGGACUGUAGUUGGACUAAUCUAAAUUGGAAAUCCUUAGGUCGCUGGUUUGAUUCUGGCAGGUUGGA